Molecule: long non-coding RNA, 486 nt
Organism: Suricata suricatta (meerkat)
Lineage: Eukaryota; Metazoa; Chordata; Mammalia; Carnivora; Herpestidae
Exons: 3
Source: RefSeq, a predicted model, not a curated record
UGUUGACGUGAGCGGAGAGGAGGCUUCGAUCCGGACGCUCCGUGGGAGGCGUUCCCGCCUACUCUCCAGACUCGCGCCCGGCAGAUGCUUACGACCAAGAUGGCGCACAGCCUUUUUGUCAAACAAAAGUCAAGGCCAAGGGAAGGACAUCAAGCAUUAUGAAGGAAGAGAUAUGAAAAGAGGAACCCAAGUCCCACCAGAACAAAGGCUCCCUCCAAGGCCCCGGGGCACCCACUGAUGACCAGACGGGGAGUCUUCACAGACAGCUGUUGCUUCCGCCUCGGCAGGUCUGAGGCCCUCAGUGAUCUUCGGUCCCACACGACCUUGCCUACUUCCCAGCCUCGCUUCAAUCAAAACGCCCACUGACUGAAGGUGAUUGUUCUCUGUUGGGAAGAAAGAAACCUCGUGAUUUGCAGUUUCAGUCACACGGCAGGUGAAGGAGAGCAGGUAUUAGCAGUUUAAACAUCGAAGCUCAAGCACCUUCAC